GCUUACGCCAUACCACCCUGAACACGCCCGAUCUCGUCUGAUCUCGGAAGCUAAGCAGGGUCGGGCCUGGUCAGUACUUGGAUGGGAGACCGCCUGGGAAUACCAGGUGCUGUAAGCU
Molecule: ribosomal RNA, 118 nt
Filed under: Oreochromis niloticus (Nile tilapia)
Lineage: Eukaryota; Metazoa; Chordata; Actinopteri; Cichliformes; Cichlidae
Source: RNAcentral